This 526-nucleotide ribosomal RNA is filed under the name uncultured bacterium. RNAcentral's name for it is "bacterial SSU rRNA". It matches the Rfam family "Bacterial small subunit ribosomal RNA", at positions 777 to 1304 of the family's 1533-position model. The record is from RNAcentral.
AAUAGAUACCCUGGUAGUCCACGCCGUAAACGAUGUCGACUUGGAGGUUGUUCCCUUGAGGAGUGGCUUCCGGAGCUAACGCGUUAAGUCGACCGCCUGGGGAGUACGGCCGCAAGGUUAAAACUCAAAUGAAUUGACGGGGGCCCGCACAAGCGGUGGAGCAUGUGGUUUAAUUCGAUGCAACGCGAAGAACCUUACCUACUCUUGACAUCCAGAGAACUUUCCAGAGAUGGAUUGGUGCCUUCGGGAACUCUGAGACAGGUGCUGCAUGGCUGUCGUCAGCUCGUGUUGUGAAAUGUUGGGUUAAGUCCCGCAACGAGCGCAACCCUUAUCCUUUGUUGCCAGCGGUUCGGCCGGGAACUCAAAGGAGACUGCCAGUGAUAAACUGGAGGAAGGUGGGGAUGACGUCAAGUCAUCAUGGCCCUUACGAGUAGGGCUACACACGUGCUACAAUGGCGUAUACAAAGAGAAGCGACCUCGCGAGAGCAAGCGGACCUCAUAAAGUCGUCGUAGUCCGGAUUGGAGU